Long non-coding RNA from Buteo japonicus, 1668 nucleotides. NCBI's taxonomy places the organism in Eukaryota, Metazoa, Chordata, Aves, Accipitriformes, Accipitridae. The record is from Ensembl.
AUGUUGGGAGAUAAGAGAACAAACAGUAGUCUGCCGAAGUUUUUUCCUGCCGAAGUUUUUUCCUGCCGAAGUUUUUUCCUGCCGAAGUUUUUUCCUGCCGAAGUUUUUUCCUGCCGAAGUUUUUUCCUGCCGAGUCUCUUACAGCCAGUCUUACAGAGGACUCGGCUUGAAAUACGUAACUACCUGUGUGUAUUACAAGUAAGUGCAAAGUGCAUUAGAUCCACUUUAUGUAGGCAAAUAAUGGGUUCUCUUUAAGUAGAUUACAAAUUUGUCCUGUCUUUUGCUGAGUAUAUGAAUUACUAUUCCAAAGAUUGUGUUAUCUCCAUUGUCACUGGACUGCUAGUAUGGCAUUACAGCAGGUAAUCAUAAUGUUUCAUCUGCUUCCCAGACAGCUUUGAAUUCCUUAGAUGCUUUUUGCAGUGUGCUUCUCUCCACCCUUCUAUUUAUUUAGUUACCUGUUAUUGAAGAAUUCUACCUGAAUUGACUAGCUGAAUGACUUCCAGUGAAGUGGCUCUGGGGAAAAUACCUUUUAAAGACAGCUGCAGAUUGUAGCAGGCUUUGGCAAGGAUUUAGGUGCCUAUAAGCAGUUGUGAUUAUGAUGAAGUAUUAAACUAAAGAGGUUUAAACAUACUGUAAGCACCCUGUUUGUCAAUUUCUGCUUUAAUUUGGAAAGUCCACUUAGGAGAUUGUAAACUGUAUUAGCUGUCAUUGGGUUGUCUCACCCAAGGAAAGCAAUUUAAGAAUUCAUAAAAUGUGUCUUGGAGCUCCUGGUAUGUGCAACAUAAUGGAACUUGCAGUUUUAAUACAAAUUCUAUCAGCGGCUUCCACUGUUGCAUAAACUUAAUUACCACUGAGUGUGUAACACCAGCAAAUAACAAGAGUUAAAUGACAUGUGAUCAAUAAUUCAUUUGUUAGCACAGUAUUGCUUACUGUGAAAUGACCUUGACAGGAACAGUCUUGCAAGUAACUUCCUUUCUUCUUGCCAUGUUAUUAACUGAAGAAAAAAAUUAAAAUUAUACGAAUGUCAUUUUGACUGAUAAACAGAGGAAGUGCUUUUUUUAAUAAAUGGCGAAAAAUCAAACCUGCAGGCUGUGAGCUGCAGGCUGCUACUCUUCUAUUCUAUUGCAUCCUAUCACAGUUUCUAACAGUAGAGUUGGUACGGGAACUGUUUUCAAGAACCAGGAAUACUAUUUGCUGAUAGUAGGUCUCAACUUGGGUUUUUGCAAAUAGCUGCCCUGCAGUGCUGAAUUUAAAACAACUGGGAAAGUGCUCACUGUUAUCUUUCAGAACUAACAGAGCAGCCCAUUUGUAUUGUAUCAUCUUCUUUUCUUGUGGUAUUCUAUGUGUUGUUGCUGGAUGUGUUCAAAACCACACAGCUGCCAGAACUCUUAAUUUGUGGCAGCUGUCUAUGUUUCUGUGUGCGAUUAUAUGUAUAGCUGCUGCAUUCAAGACUCAUUAGCCUGUACUAAUCCACUGAAGUCUGCAUUAAUCUCAACAGGAACUGUGUAAAAAAAUAAAGUGUAAAUUACAGGAGACAUCUUUGCCUGGAUUGUCUUCUGAAUUAUUUGCCACGUUGGUGCUGCACCAGUGUGUUGGGCAUGUAUUGCACAAGUGUGUACUUUUCCUAUGUGGAAGAGGACAAAAAUUUUCAAGGCUUAUAUAUGGGUA